GCCUGGUUGGCUCAGUCAGCAGAGCAUGUGACUCAUGAUCUUGGGGUGGUGGGUUCGAGCCCCAUGUUGGGUG
Molecule: transfer RNA, 73 nt
Filed under: Mustela putorius furo (domestic ferret)
Lineage: Eukaryota; Metazoa; Chordata; Mammalia; Carnivora; Mustelidae
Rfam family: tRNA
About the family: Transfer RNA (tRNA) molecules are approximately 80 nucleotides in length. Their secondary structure includes four short double-helical elements and three loops (D, anti-codon, and T loops). Further hydrogen bonds mediate the characteristic L-shaped molecular structure. tRNAs have two regions of fundamental functional importance: the anti-codon, which is responsible for specific mRNA codon recognition, and the 3' end, to which the tRNAs corresponding amino acid is attached (by aminoacyl-tRNA synthetases). tRNAs cope with the degeneracy of the genetic code in two manners: having more than one tRNA (with a specific anti-codon) for a particular amino acid; and 'wobble' base-pairing, i.e. permitting non-standard base-pairing at the 3rd anti-codon position.
Source: Rfam by way of RNAcentral